Molecule: long non-coding RNA, 415 nt
Filed under: Helianthus annuus (common sunflower)
Lineage: Eukaryota; Viridiplantae; Streptophyta; Magnoliopsida; Asterales; Asteraceae
Description: hypothetical non coding rna
Source: RNAcentral
GAUCGAUCAAGAAAGGGGAGCCAAAGGGGGAAAACCCUAACAUCCUAAAAUCAUUCAAAUUGAAAGGGGAAUCAAAGAUUUGUCGAAUGCAUGAGCCAGUAACUUUGAUUAUCUAAGUGAAUUUGAUAUCAAGGGCAAAGGAAGAAGAAGGAACAAGUCUAUCCAAGGCACAAGAAAUGCAAGACCUCGGUAAAUCCCAUGCUUAAUCGCGGCGCGCUUGAACCGAACAUACCACAUCGCCCGUCACACGCUUCCAAUUAAUGUUGUCUUUUGUAAAAAGGGUCAAAAUAGCUUUUGUUAAGUAAAUGUAAGGCCUAUAGUUAGGAUGUUUGUAACUAGCUUGGUUUUUAACUCUAUUGGGUAGUUGGAUAAAGUGCUUAUGAUGGACCUUGUAUGGUCAUAACCUUACCAUAUU